RNAcentral lists this ribosomal RNA (429 nucleotides) under uncultured soil bacterium. RNAcentral's name for it is "bacterial SSU rRNA". It matches the Rfam family "Bacterial small subunit ribosomal RNA", at positions 26 to 460 of the family's 1533-position model. The record is from RNAcentral.
AGAUUGAACGCUGGCGGCGCGCCUAACACAUGCAAGUCGAGCGGUAACAGGUGUAGCAAUACAUGCUGACGAGCGGCGGACGGGUGAGUAACGCUUGGGAAUCUGCCUAUCAGUGGGGGACAACCCGGGGAAACUCGGGCUAAUACCGCAUACGAUCCAUGGAUGAAAGCCGGGGACCGCAAGGCCUGGCGCUGAUAGAUGAGCCCAAGUCGGAUUAGCUAGUUGGUAGGGUAACGGCCUACCAAGGCGACGAUCCGUAACUGGUCUGAGAGGACGACCAGUCACACCGGGACUGAGACACGGCCCAGACUCCUACGGGAGGCAGCAGUGGGGAAUAUUGGACAAUGGCGGAAGCCUGAUCCAGCAACGCCGCGUGAGGGAUGACGGCCUCGGUUGUAACCUCUUCAGUACCGACGAAGCGCAAGUGAC